AUGUUAUAUGCCAAUUGUAUCUCAUUAAAUCUGGAAAAAAUAAGUCACCCAGAAGAAAAAGAAAAAUACACAUACAUACUCAUUUCUGAAAAAGACAUCAUCAUAAAUUUGGAAGUCUUGAGUAAACAGCCUACUUCACGAAAGAUCCAGGAUGGCCAAGAAAACAUAAGUGACACUACUUAUGGUUUUAAGAAAGGCAAUCUCAAGGCUAGUAUUCAUCCAUUUAGCUUGCCAGCUAAGGACAAGGAACUUUGCAAGUGUACUCACAUUACAUUCCCAGGGAUUCUAUAUUUCUUGAGUUUCAGGCAGGAUGGCUGAUGAGAAAAAUACAUACAAUCAUAAAACUGCUGUACCCCUAAAGUCUUAUCACUAUUUAUAUGCUUGAAAGUCAGCUACUAAUAUUUAUCACGUUAUCAUAUUUUCUGCAACAGAGGUAGAUAUUUGAAUUUUUUCCAGUUAGUUCCAUAUAUCUAUGAAUGAGCAUCACUUAUUGUAGAUAGCAACCAUCCAUUUGCUUUUCCCUAGCUAAAGAAGAUGCAAGCCAUUCAUCUUGUUCUCCAAUCCCUUCCCACAGUUUAAAAUGCAAUCAACUACUCUCUCUACUCCCCAAGAUGAGACCCUGUCUCAAAGUCACUGAACUAUUGCCUCAACAAGCCCCUGAUAACUUUUGUGGUGAAGGAAGGGUGGGGAGAGCUAGUUGAUGCUGACAGAAGGGCACCAAGAUGGGAGUUGCCUGCAUUCCUUUCCUCCUUGAGUUACCCAUGUAAAUUCUCCAUGCAUGAGUCAACUGGAGAGCACAGAAUAUGGCCGAGACUUCGGUCCCUUGCUAUCACUCCCCACGAAGCUCCUCUAGAUAAGGAUCUCCCGACAACAAAAGGCUAUAUGUUAGACUACCCCUGGCAGGGACUGAUGGGGAUGUCCCAGGAGAAAGAGUUGAGACUGACCCCUGCUACAUUAGAGAGUGCAAGGGGAGGCCCCAGAAAGCAAGGAUGUUCCCAGUCCAAGUAAGAGAGCUGGCAUCUGGACUCCUGACACAUUGGGAGAACUGUUGCUAAAGUAGCAAAACCAGAAGAAAAUGAGGAGACAACUCUUCAUAGACAGUCUUGCAGAGAACAUUCUUUCUCCCUUCUCCUCAUCCCUACUUAGCUGGAGCAAGAGCUAAGGUGAAAAACCUAAAGAUGCAAGUGAGUGCAAGAAUUAUUUAGGGGGUAAAAGAGAUAGGAUUUGUUGAGAGCAUAAAGCUCAGAUUUCUGACUUGAGCAAUUACUGGCUGGUGGUACCACCAGUCACUGAAGGAGGGAACAUAGAGAAGAAACAGGCUUUAUUUCUGGAGAGCAGGGUUCAGUUCAGUUCAGUUCAGUUCAGUUGCUCAGUCGUGUCUGACUCNNNNNNNNNNNNNNNAUCGCAGCACACCAGGCCUCCCUGUCCAUCACCAACUGCCGGAGUUCACAGGGUAGGGGACAGGUAUUUUUGAGUUCACUUUUGGACAUACUCAACUUGAGAUGCCCAUGAGGCUCAAUAGACAUUUGGAUAUAUACAUCCGGAACUCUGAAGACAGGGCUGGGCUGAAGAUAAACAUAUGGGAUUCACCACCAUAAAAAGUAUCAUUAAAGCAUUGGAAAUGGUUGAGAUUGUGUAGGCAGAGUAUGCAAAGGUCAUGAGGAACUCGAUGAUUUAAGGAGUAACUUAGAGGACUUACUAAGUAAAUCAGCUAAGGAGAAUGAAAAGAAGUCAUAACAGAGGUGUGAGUCACAGAAACCCAGAAAAGAAGUUAAACUAAAUGUUUAAUAGCAUUUGGUGAAGAUAAAAAAACUUAAUGAAUCCCUUCACAAGGAUGAUUUCAAAUAUACCACCAGAACAUCUGAAAUCUGUUGGCCACCGACCUGUGGGUUUUUCGAUGCAGUGGACCCCACAGCAGCACUGACAUCACCUGGGAUCGCGUUAAAAAUGAACUUGGGUGGCCCCACCUCACACCUACUAAAUCAGAAAGUCUGGGGUGGGGUCCAGGCGUCUGUUUUAACAAGCCUCGUGGGUGAUUCUGAUCCUCACUAAGGUUUGAGAAUCGCUGCUCUAGAAGGUGCUUAGAUAGCACCUGAUAGCCAUUCCUUUAGGAACCAAUCCCCUUUUUGAUAAACUCAUUUUCCUUUGGAUCUGUUAAUAACAUGUUGCCAAAUUGCUAGAGCCUGAGCAGCAAGAUUGGGUCAAUACUCCACAUUUAUUGUACCACAAUUCCUAUCCUAUACCAACUACUGACCACUUCUCCAUCCACUGGGUUCUUUUUUGCUCCUCAUUACAUCUAACUAUUCACAACUCUCUGCUCCUUCGCUGCUUCUCUUUGUGCAUUUUUUCCCAAUCUCUGAUCCUGCUAUCAACUGAACAAAUCUCUAAAUGUCAGUUUAAAUUCCUGAGNNNNNNNNNNNNNNNNNNNNNNNNNNNNNNNNNNNNNNNNNNNNNNNNNNNNNNNNNNNNNNNNNNNNNNNNNNNNNNNNNNNNNNNNNNNNNNNNNNNUAUCAACUGAACAAAUCUCUAAAUGUCAGUUUAAAUUCCUGAGUGACAUAGAUUGUUGGUGAAACCCGCAAAUUGGUACAACUUAGUUAUUCUGCCUCACUUAUCAAAACAACAGCAACAGGGAAGUGAUCCUAUAGAGGGGCCUGCAUGUGUGCACAAAGAAGGGGGCCUUUCUCCCCCUACUCAACCAAAGGCCAGCUCACCCACCUUCAGUCAAUCCCCCCCACCUAACCGCACUCUGCCAGUCCAAGCCUGGGUCCCAUACUCAAAGGGCUUCUCCGGGUGAGUCCGUUGAAGCCCUUAAUAGUGGUUAGAAAAGCCUAUUCACACCUCACUUCACACUGGAGUCAGUUGGAAGCAGCGGGGAAAGC
Molecule: long non-coding RNA, 2879 nt
Filed under: Capra hircus (goat)
Lineage: Eukaryota; Metazoa; Chordata; Mammalia; Artiodactyla; Bovidae
Description: lncRNA (ENSCHIG00010009271.1)
Source: RNAcentral